AUUAUGUAAUGAAUUACUGGAAUUGAUUUGGUUAAGUGCAACUACGGUCUCUGUUCAGUGCGCUCUCUGCUUAGCAACGGUCUUUGCUCAGUUUAUCACCUGCGCGUGUGGAAGAUGCCCGUGUGCUUCUCGGUUUUACCUGAUCUUUUUUUUUGAAUAUCACUCCGCGACACACGCUGCAGCGUUGUGGUUCAGCAGCAGAUGAUGAUGCGCUGUCAGCCACUGAUUUGUCAUUCACACUCGCCAUCAAAUUGACCCAUGCUAGCAACAAGUUCUGACUGAGCUCAAUCGUCAUGAGAAGCCAAUACACCGAUGAGUUUCUCGCUCUUUCAUACAAACUUUGAGAAAUAACGAGGAGCUCCCUCAAUGUGUUUUGUGCGGGAAAGUGCUUAGUAAUGACUCAUUCAAAACGAACAAAUUCAUAUAACGACACGUCCUGACGGUAACGUUAUACCAAAGGAAUUAUUUCAGAAGAGGGCAGAAUGCUUCAGGAAACAGUGCUUCGACGGUGGAAAAGAGAGGGAAUCCUCUGCAUGCAAUUUGACUGAGGAUGAGCACAACACUUUUAGAAUGCACUGUGCUGGAGGCAAGCGCCAAAUUCCCAGGAGUCAAACAAGAGCAUGUUGGGACGGUAUUCAUGAAAUGGGCACAAUGAGCAGUGGGAACAACACUGCUCUCAAGUCAGAGGCAGACACUGAGGGAAUGAUCCAGACAAAACAGCAGUCAGGAGCUGAACACAGUGAAGGUGUCUUCCUAAGUCUGAACCCAAUUUUUUUGAACUCGGCCUCCCAGACGCCGAAGACUCCUCGUGUUCCUACGCCACAGACACCAGAAGACAGUCGACGCAGUUCUCAGACACCCCAGCGAGAGCAGCACCGCCGCUGCAUCGACGCCAGCAUAGCUCCAAUACAGAUUCCCCCAAGACAGGCAAGGAACCGCUACACUGCGGCAAGACUUUAAGCCAAUACCCAGUACUAGAGGCACAUGAAAGAGUGUACACAGUGGAGAAGACGUAUAUGUGCGACGCGUGCGGCAGGGGUUUUCGCAAGUCGGAAAUCGCAACAUGCACCUAAAGUUUCACGCCGGCGAGAAGCAGUUCGUCUGCACGUUGUGUGGGAGGAAGUUCAUGACCUUGAGUCACAUGAACAUCCAUGGUAAAGGGAAGGCGGUCAAAUGUUGCAAGUGCAGGAAGUGGUUCCUGGAUAUAGACACGGCGCAGCACGGUGUGACCAACACCAACACUAACCUUCUCAGCUGUGAGGAAAGUUGUUCGCUCUAGCCUGUCAUCUGAACAGACGGAGACAGAAACAAUGCCAGUCACAAUGAACAACAGAAUCAAUGGUUGUCUGUCUCUAUCUUUCUGUGUUUGUCUGUCCGUCGGUCAUUACGAAGAGAAGGCUGAUGAACGUGAUAGACUUGGUGGCUCAGGGUCUGAGUCCUUGCCUUCCAUUCAUGGGUUCAAAUCCCAUUUAUUGUGCAUUAGUGGACAUUUCCACAAAUGUCAAUGUCAAAAUGACAAAGAAAACUAUUAAAUGUGAAAGAUGGUUGCUCUAGGGUCGAGUUCAUGCUUUUCAUCCGUGAGUUAUGUGUUCGAAAACCCAUCUCUUUCUCUUCUGCUUUAGUCACUGAAUGUCGAUGUCUAAACUACAAAGAGAAGUGUAAUGAGUGUGAAGGAGUCUGUGGCUGGAUCUCACCCAAUAAGCACAGGGCUGUAGGUUUGAACCCAGUGCUCUGGAAGAGGGUUACCUCACCACUGAGGACUCCACUGGGUGGGACUGAAACACAUAGAAUGGCACAAUAAAUAGGUUUGGUUAAAUCUUGUGGUUUCAGAACAGUAAUCAGCAGUGGCUACGGAGGGAAACCUCUGGGAAAAGUAGACAACCCAAUGCUUACAAGGCGAAAGCUUUAUGACUGAGCCAACACCUCCUUCACGCUUCGCAAGCGUCGCUUCACUUCUCUUCCUAUGAUAGAGUUAAGGAAACAUUGAAGAGUACACUAAUAAGCCCAUGUUGGAGCUGAAGAUGGCAGUCUGUUAGCUCUGUGGCACCCACAUUGGGUUUCCCUGUGACCUCUACUAGUCAGGGUCAAUAAUGCUGGUCAAUAAUGCCGGCAUCAACAGGCUUUCUAUAUGUCACCCAGCAUCAAUUGGAGGUAGCUGUAGUUGGAUACAUGGCAUCUCUACGCCAGCCAGCUCUCCCUCAGACACUUGCCUGGAGGCCUGGUCACAUCAGACAAAUACCUCGGGGCAGAAUCACAUCAGCAUGUAAACACACCUCACUUCUGGAGCGAUCAGACCAUUCAGGCCACACCUCUGAACACACCUUACUACAGCUCACCGUAACUAUCAUGUGAACCAGCGGUAUUCAAAUCUUACCCUAUAAGGUCUAGAGCCUGCUGGUUUUCUGUUUUACCUGAUAAUUAAUUGCGCCCACCUGGUGUCCCAGGUCUAAAUCAGCCCCUGAUUGAAGGGGAAGAAUGAAAAAGACAACAGUGGAACUGGCUUCGACAUCUGGGGGGUCCGUAUCCACAAAGUGUCUCAGAGUGCUGAUCUAGGAUCAGUUUAGCCUUUUAAUUCAUAAUGAAUAAGACUGAAUGGACAGAUACAUUUAUUAAAAACACAUUCCACCAAAUACUAAUAUAUAUUUUGAUAUGAGGAAGAAAAGCCUUAUGCAUGUAUUUUAUUUAACUAGGCAAGUCAGUUAAG
Salvelinus namaycush (lake trout) is the source of this 2704-nucleotide long non-coding RNA. RefSeq lists it as uncharacterized. Lineage: Eukaryota; Metazoa; Chordata; Actinopteri; Salmoniformes; Salmonidae. The record is from RefSeq and is a predicted model, not a curated record. The transcript is spliced from 3 exons.